Molecule: ribosomal RNA, 406 nt
Filed under: uncultured bacterium
Lineage: Bacteria
Description: partial 16S ribosomal RNA
Rfam family: Bacterial small subunit ribosomal RNA
Source: RNAcentral
AUUGAACGCUGGCGGCAUGCCUAACACAUGCAAGUCGGACGAGUGGCGAACGGGUGAGUAAUAUCUCGGAACGUACCUAAUAAAGGGGUAUAACUAAUCGAAACAUUAGCUAAUACCGCAUACUAUUCGAUCUGCCGAGAUGGGAUUAGCUAGUUGGUGGGGUAACGGCCAACCAAGGCGACGAUCAGUAGCGGGUCUGAGAGGAUGAUCGGCCACACUGGGACUGAGACACGGCCCAGACUCCUACGGGAGGCAGCAGUGGGGAAUAUUGGACAAUGGGCGCAAGCCUGAUCCAGCCAUGCCGCGUGUCUGAAGAAGGCCUUCGGGUUGUAAAGGACUUUUGUCAGGGAAGCGGUACCUGAAGAAUAAGCACCGGCUAACUACGUGCCAGCAGCCGCGGUAAUAC